RNAcentral lists this long non-coding RNA (1487 nucleotides) under Arabidopsis thaliana (thale cress). RNAcentral describes it as "long non-coding RNA (ATHA_LNC000288)". The record is from RNAcentral. Lineage: Eukaryota; Viridiplantae; Streptophyta; Magnoliopsida; Brassicales; Brassicaceae.
GGCAUUCCUGGGACAUGUGCCACGUGGAGGAGGUGGUGGUUGGAAUCUCGGAGGAGGGGGUGGUGGUUGGGAUUUCGGAGGAGGGGGUGAUGGUGAGUUGUUCGGUGGAGAUGUUGGUGAAGAAGGCGGCAGUGUUGUUGUUGGUGGAGGCGACGGUGGUGUAGUUGGAGGACGCACUGGUGGAGUCACGGGUGGUGUGUUUGGUGGAACCGUUGGUGGAGUUUGUGGUGGUGUGUUUGGAGGAGUUUCCGGUGGUGUGUUUGGAGGUGUCUGUGGAGGUGUGUUUGGUGGAAGCGUUGGUGGAAUUUGUGGUGGUGUGUUUGGUGGAAGCGUUGGUGGAGAUUGUGGUGGUGUGUUUGGAAGAGCUUCCGGUGGUGUGUUUGGUGGAAGCGUUGGUAGAGUCUCUGGUGGUGAGUUUGGAGGAGUUUGCGGUGGUGUCUCCGGUGGUGUGUUUGGUGGAAGCGUUGGUGGAAUCUGUGGUGAUUGGUUUGGAGGAGUUCCCGGUGGUGUGUUUGGAAGUGUCUCCGGUGGUGUGUUUGGAGGCGUUUCCGGUGGAGUGUUUGGAGGACUUUGUGGGGGUGUGUUUGGUGGAGUUUCCGGUUGUGUGGUUGGAGGAGUUUCCGGGGGUGUGUUUGGAGGAGUUUCUGGUGGUGUGGUUGGAGGUGUCUUUGGUGUGUUUGGAGGAGUUCCCGGUGGUGUGUUUGGAGGUGUUUCUGGUGGAGUAUUUGGAGGACUUUGUGGGGGGGUGUUUGGUGGAGUUUCUGGUGGUGUGAUUGGAGGAGUUUCUGGUGGUGUGGUUGGAGGUGUCUCCGGUGGUGUGUUUGGAGGAGUUCCUGGUGGUGUGUUUGGAAGUGUCUCUGGUGGUGUGUUUGGAGGAGUUCCCGGUGGUGUGUUUGGAGGUGUUUCUGGUGGAGUAUUUGGAGGACUUUGUGGGGGGGUGUUUGGUGGAGUUUCUGGUGGUGUGAUUGGAGGAGUUUCUGGUGGUGUUGUUGGAGGUGUCUCCGGUGGUGUGUUUGGAGGAGUUCCUGGUGGUGUGUUUGGAAGUGUCUCCGGUGGUGUGUUUGGAGGAGUUCCCGGUGGUGUGUUUGGAGGUGUUUCUGGUGGAGUAUUUGGAGGACUUUGUGGGGGUGUGUUUGGUGGAAUUUCCGGUGGUGUGGUUGGAGAAGUUUCCGGUGGUGUGUUUGGAGAAGUUUCUGGUGGUGUGGUUGGAGGUGUCUCCGGUGGUGUGGUUGGAGGUGUCUCCGGUGGUGUGUUUGGAGGAGUUCCCGGUGGUGUGUUUGGAGGUAUUUCCGGUGGAGUGUUUGGAGGACUUUCUGGGGGCGUGUUUGGUGGAGUUUCUGGUGGUGUUGUUGGAGGUGUCUCCGGUGGCGUGUUUGGUGGAAGCGUUGGUGGAGUCUGUGGUGGUGUGUUAGGAGGUAUUUCCGGUGGUAUGGUCGGAGGUGUCUGUGGUGGUAGGGUUGGUGGACCUGUUGGUAAAACUUCCGUAG